Molecule: non-coding RNA, 641 nt
Organism: Elaeis guineensis (African oil palm)
Lineage: Eukaryota; Viridiplantae; Streptophyta; Magnoliopsida; Arecales; Arecaceae
Source: RefSeq, a predicted model, not a curated record
CCCCACCCGAGACCAGCUAAGUUAUUUUCCUUCUCCGUCGGUGCUCAACACCAACAAUUCCUGGCUUCUUGAGAGGUUUCCUCGUCGGUUCCAGGCUCUCUUUCUCUUCCUUGAGCGUAGUUUCUGAUCUCCGGAAACCCUACGCGUUGAGAAGAUGGGUAAGAGGAAGUCGAGGGCAAAGCCGGUUCCCAAGAAGCCACAGCCUAAGCUGGAUGUGUACUUCACCUGCCCCUUCUGCAACCAUGACAAGAGCUUCAACUGCUCCAUGGACAUGAAAAUGAAGAUUGGGGAGGCCUACUGCAGGGUCUGCGAAGAAAGCUAUGCCACCUCCAUCCACCAUAAAUUUAACAGAGCCCAUCGAUAUAUACAGUGAAUGGCUCGAUGAAUGCGAACGGGUCAACUGCUAUGAAGAUGACUUGAGAAAGAGGCCUUGCAUUGCUGAAGUUCCCCAGAUUCUGUGUUGUUUUAGAUAGGCGCAUUUUAUUUGUCGAUGAUCGAAACAAGCUUGUCCUGUCUGGUUGAUACGCAUGCAUUUGUUUGAUAUUUUCUUUUAAUUUGUCAGCAACUGGUAGAAGUGUUCAAGAUGUUAAAGAUAGGAGUAAUUUAACUCAAAUAAAAUGAAAGUUGUUGUUGUUUGGAGU